GGUACGGUCGGGCCGGGGGUGGGGGGAAGAGGGGGGACCCUAGCUUGGGUCGGAAUACGUUGGCGUAAAGCGGGGUCAGGUGGCUUUAUAAGUCAGAUGUGAAAGGCCUGGGCUUAACCCAGGAAGUGCAUUUGAUACUGCAAAGCUUGAGUGCUGGAGAGGUUACUGGAAUACCUGGUGUAGUGGUGAAAUACGUAGAUAUCAGGUGGAACACCGGUGGCGAAGGCGGGUAACUGGCCAGACACUGACACUCAAACCCGAAAGCGUGGGGAUCAAACAGGAUUAGAUACCCCUGUAGUC
This 300-nucleotide ribosomal RNA is filed under the name uncultured Desulfurococcus sp. RNAcentral's name for it is "bacterial SSU rRNA". The stretch from base 52 to 300 matches the Rfam family "Bacterial small subunit ribosomal RNA", at positions 547 to 795 of the family's 1533-position model. Lineage: Archaea; Thermoproteati; Thermoproteota; Thermoprotei; Desulfurococcales; Desulfurococcaceae. The record is from RNAcentral.